UACGUAGGUGGCAAGCGUUGUCCGGAUUUACUGGGCGUAAAGAGCGCGCAGGCGGUCGUUCAAGUCGCGUGUGAAAGCCCCCGGCUCAACUGGGGAGGGUCACGCGAUACUGAUCGACUCGAAGGCAGGAGAGGGAAGUGGAAUUCCCGGUGUAGUGGUGAAAUGCGUAGAUAUCGUAAGGAAGACCAGUGGCGAAGGCGGGUCUCUGGACAGUUCCUGACGCUGAGGCACGAAGGUCAGGGGAGCAAACAGG
RNAcentral lists this ribosomal RNA (253 nucleotides) under uncultured bacterium. Its description in RNAcentral is "partial 16S ribosomal RNA". It matches the Rfam family "Bacterial small subunit ribosomal RNA", at positions 524 to 776 of the family's 1533-position model. The record is from RNAcentral.